Molecule: ribosomal RNA, 253 nt
Filed under: uncultured bacterium
Lineage: Bacteria
Description: partial 16S ribosomal RNA
Rfam family: Bacterial small subunit ribosomal RNA
Source: RNAcentral
UACAUAGGGUGCGAGCGUUAAUCGGAAUUACUGGGCGUAAAGUGUGCGCAGGCGGCCGAGCAAGUCGAGUGUGAAAGCCCCGAGCUUAACUUGGGAACUGCGCUCGAAACUACUUGGCUAGAGUGUGGCAGAGGGAGGUGGAAUUCCACGUGUAGCGGUGAAAUGCGUAGAGAUGUGGAGGAACACCGAUGGCGAAGGCAGCCUCCUGGGCCAACACUGACGCUCAUGCACGAAAGCGUGGGGAGCAAACAGG